CCUACGGGAGGCAGCAGUGAGGAAUAUUGGUCAAUGGGCGGAAGCCUGAACCAGCCAAGUAGCGUGCGGGAUGAAGGCCCUACGGGUCGUAAACCGCUUUUGCACGGGGAUAACACCCUCCACUUGUGGAGGUCUGCAGGUACCGUGCGAAUAAGGGCCGGCUAAUUCCGUGCCAGCAGCCGCGGUAAUACGGAAGGCCCGAGCGUUAUCCGGAUUCAUUGGGCUAAAAGGGAGCGUAGGCGGGCGUUCAAGUCAGCUGUAAAAGCGCGCGGCUCAACCGCGCCCCGCAGUUGAAACUGGACGCCUUGAGUUCACAACAGGCAGGCGGAAUUCGUGGUGUAGCGGUGAAAUGCAUAGAUAUCACGAGGAACCCCGAUUGCGAAGGCAGCCUGCCGGGGUGCGACUGACGCUGAGGCUCGAAGGUGCGGGUAUCAAACAGGAUUAGAUACCCCAGUAGUC
Molecule: ribosomal RNA, 459 nt
Filed under: uncultured bacterium
Lineage: Bacteria
Description: partial 16S ribosomal RNA
Rfam family: Bacterial small subunit ribosomal RNA
Source: RNAcentral